AUACGUAGGGGGCGAGCGUUGUCCGGAAUGAUUGGGCGUAAAGGGCGCGUAGGCGGCCCGGUAAGUCUGGAGUGAAAGUCCUGUUUUUAAGAUGGGAAUUGCUUUGGACACUGUCGGGCUUGAGUGCAGGAGAGGUAAGUGGAAUUCCCAGUGUAGCGGUGAAAUGCGUAGAGAAUGGGAGGAACACCAGUGGCGAAGGCGACUUACUGGACUGUAACUGACGCUGAGGCGCGAAAGUGUGGGGAGCAAACAGGAUUAGAUACCCUGGUAGUCCACACUGUGAACGAUGAAUGCUAGGUGUAGGGGGUAUCGACCCCUUCUGUGCCGCAGUCAACACAAUAAGCAUUCCGCCUGGGGAGUACGGCCGCAAGGUUGAAACUCAAAGGAAUUGACGGGG
Molecule: ribosomal RNA, 397 nt
Filed under: uncultured bacterium
Lineage: Bacteria
Description: partial 16S ribosomal RNA
Rfam family: Bacterial small subunit ribosomal RNA
Source: RNAcentral